AGUGAACGCUGGCGGUAGGCCUAACACAUGCAAGUCGAACGGCAGCACAGUAAGAGCUUGCUCUUACGGGUGGCGAGUGGCGGACGGGUGAGGAAUACAUCGGAAUCUACUUUUUCGUGGGGGAUAACGGAGGGAAACUUACGCUAAUACCGCAUAUGACCUACGGGUGAAAGCAGGGGAUCUUCGGACCUUGCCCGAUUGAAUGAGCCGGUGUCGGAUUAGCUAGUUGGCGUGGUAACGGCCCACCAAGGCGACGAUGCGUAGCGGGUCUGAGAGGAUGAUCAGCCACACUGGAACUGAGACACGGUCCAGACUCCUACGGGAGGCAGCAGUAGGGAAUCUUGGGCAAUGGGCGCAAGCCUGAUCCAGCCAUACCGCGUGAGUGAAGAAGGCCUUCGGGUUGUAAAGCCCUUUUGUUGGGAAAGAAAAGCAGCAGGUUAAUCCCCCGCUGUUCUGACGGUACCCAAAGAAUAAGCACCGGCUAACUUCGUG
Molecule: ribosomal RNA, 492 nt
Filed under: uncultured bacterium
Lineage: Bacteria
Description: partial 16S ribosomal RNA
Rfam family: Bacterial small subunit ribosomal RNA
Source: RNAcentral